GGGGAUGUGGUUCAAGUGGUAACACGCUCACCUAGCAUGUGUGAGUCACUGGGUUCAAUUCUCAGCACCACA
RNAcentral lists this transfer RNA (72 nucleotides) under Marmota monax (woodchuck). Its description in RNAcentral is "tRNA.Ala". The record is from RNAcentral. Lineage: Eukaryota; Metazoa; Chordata; Mammalia; Rodentia; Sciuridae.